AACCUUUGACAAGACUAUUAACAUAUUGAAUGAAGGGUGACAUUUACCAGUUGUUUCUAACAGAUGAAGAUUCAAUUCUCUAUAGUAUUGUAUUGUCUAACUAAAUUUAUUCUGCUUGCUUCUACAAUUUUACAACUCAUUGAUAGAAAUAUACUACAACAUGAAGUGAAAUUGGCAAUUAUGGUGCAGUAAAAAUAUCAAAGCUUCCAGACAUUUAAGGUUAAAGAGAUAUAUUCAAAUGGAAACAGUUAACACAGAAUUGGGAGGAAAUAAAGCUGAUUCAGCAAUAAAUGUUCAAUCCAUCAAAUCAUCACCCAGACAACUUUUUUUAAAGUAAAAAACAUUAAUCGAUUCUGAAAUGUUUUUACAGUAAGUAUAAAAUUCUGCCAAAUAAAGAUGAUUACACUAUAGAUAAUUGUGAUUUAUUUCU
This 430-nucleotide long non-coding RNA is filed under the name Mytilus galloprovincialis (Mediterranean mussel). The record is from RNAcentral. Lineage: Eukaryota; Metazoa; Mollusca; Bivalvia; Mytilida; Mytilidae.